Molecule: ribosomal RNA, 497 nt
Filed under: uncultured bacterium
Lineage: Bacteria
Description: partial 16S ribosomal RNA
Rfam family: Bacterial small subunit ribosomal RNA
Source: RNAcentral
GAUGAACGCUGGCGGCGUGCCUAAUACAUGCAAGUCGAGCGAACAGACGAGGAGCUUGCUCCUCUGACGUUAGCGGCGGACGGGUGAGUAACACGUGGAUAACAUACCUAUAAGACUGGGAUAACUUCGGGAAACCGGAGCUAAUACCGGAUAAUAUAUUGAACCGCAUGGUUCAAUCGUUAAAGACGGUUUUGCUGUCACUUAUAGAUGGAUCCGCACCGCAUUAGCUAGUUGGUAAGGUAACGGAUUACCAAGGCAACGAUGCGUAGCCGACCUGAGAGGGUGAUCGGCCACACUGGAACUGAGACACGGUCCAGACUCCUACGGGAGGCAGCAGUAGGGAAUCUUCCGCAAUGGGCGAAAGCCUAACGGAGCAACGCCGCGUGAGUGAUGAAGGUCUUCGGAUCGUAAAACUCUGUUAUUAGGGAGGAACAAAUGUGUAAGUAACUAUGCACGUAUUGACGGUACCUAAUCAGAAAGCCACGGCUAACUACGUG